Pistacia vera is the source of this 107-nucleotide small nucleolar RNA. The record is from RefSeq and is a predicted model, not a curated record. Lineage: Eukaryota; Viridiplantae; Streptophyta; Magnoliopsida; Sapindales; Anacardiaceae.
AACCCAUGGUGAGGACACUUACGUAAGAGAUCCUUAUACCUCUCCCAAGCUUUAUAGAGCGACUCCAUAUCUUGCUAGAAAAAAUUAGUGAUGUCACUCCUCAUCUU